GAACGCUGGCGGCAUGCCUAAGACAUGCAAGUCGAACGAGAUGGCCUUUGAAAACUGCGUACUUGUACAAAGUUGGAUUAAGAUUUCCAUCUAGUGGCAGACGGUGAGUAAUACAUAAGUAAUCUACCUCAGAGACUGGGAUAACGUUUGGAAACGAACGCUAAUACCGGAUGAUUCUUCUUACACAAGUAAGAAAGCUAAAAGGAGCGUUUGCUUCACUUUGAGAUGAGCUUAUGGCGUAUUAACUAGUUGGUGGGGUAAUGGCCUACCAAGGUGACGAUGCGUAGCCGAACUGAGAGGUUGAUCGGCCACAUUGGGACUGAGACACGGCCCAAACUCCUACGGGAGGCAGCAGUUAGGAAUAUUCGUCAAUGGGGGGAACCCUGAACGAGCAAUGCCGCGUGAGUGAUGACGGUCUUUAUGAUUGUAAAACUCUGUUGUGAGGAAAGAACCCUUAUCAUAGGAAAUGAUGAUAAGCUGACGGUACCUUACCAGAAAGCCCCGGCUAACUACGUGCCAGCCGCCGC
This 527-nucleotide ribosomal RNA is filed under the name uncultured bacterium. Its description in RNAcentral is "bacterial SSU rRNA". It matches the Rfam family "Bacterial small subunit ribosomal RNA", at positions 31 to 518 of the family's 1533-position model. The record is from RNAcentral.